GAGAACGUAGGUCAGGCCGCAGCUACUUCGCAGGCGGCGGAGGGGCAGCUGGGCAGCGCCUAGCUGGUCCCGGGUUACCGCCGGGCGCUUUCGC
RNAcentral lists this transfer RNA (94 nucleotides) under Caulobacter rhizosphaerae. RNAcentral's name for it is "tRNA-Ala". The record is from RNAcentral. Lineage: Bacteria; Pseudomonadati; Pseudomonadota; Alphaproteobacteria; Caulobacterales; Caulobacteraceae.